This 253-nucleotide ribosomal RNA is filed under the name uncultured bacterium. RNAcentral describes it as "partial 16S ribosomal RNA". It matches the Rfam family "Bacterial small subunit ribosomal RNA", at positions 524 to 776 of the family's 1533-position model. The record is from RNAcentral.
GACGAACCGUGCGACCGUUGUUCGGAAUCACUGGGCUUAAAGGGCGCGUAGGCGGGUGGAUAAGUCAGGGGUGAAAGCCCACGGCUCAACCGUGGAAGUGCCUUUGAUACUGUUCAUCUCGAGGGAGGUAGGGGCGUGCGGAACUUCCGGUGGAGCGGUGAAAUGCGUAGAUAUCGGAAGGAACACCGGUGGCGAAAGCGGCGCGCUGGACCUCUUCUGACGCUGAGGCGCGAAAGCCAGGGGAGCAAACGGG